This 422-nucleotide ribosomal RNA is filed under the name uncultured prokaryote. RNAcentral's name for it is "bacterial SSU rRNA". It matches the Rfam family "Bacterial small subunit ribosomal RNA", at positions 355 to 774 of the family's 1533-position model. The record is from RNAcentral.
UGAGGAAUAUUGGUCAAUGGGCGCAAGCCUGAACCAGCCAUCCCGCGUGCAGGAAGAAGGCCCUAUGGGUUGUAAACUGCUUUUCCAGGGGGAGAAUUUUUCUGUCGGGACAGGAAUUGACGGUACCCUGGGAAUAAGCAACGGCUAACUCCGUGCCAGCAGCCGCGGUAAUACGGAGGAUGCGAGCGUUAUCCGGAUUUAUUGGGUUUAAAGGGUGCGUAGGCGUAUAAUUAAGGCAGUGGUGAAAACCUGCAGCUUAACGGUAGACUUGCCGUUGAUAAUGGUAGUCUUGAGUAUUGUCAAGGUAGGCGGAAUGUGUAAUGUAGCGGUGAAAUGCUUAGAUAUUACACAGAACACCGAUUGCGAAGGCAGCUUACUGGGCCAUUACUGACGCUGAUGCACGAAAGCGUGGGGAUCGAACA